GGUGCUUGUCUCUUUGAGCUGUCUGGUGCCAUUCUCAUCGCUGCCACGACACUCGCACCCACCGCCACCAUGACUGAGCAGAUGACACUUUGUGGCACCCUCAAGGGCCACAGUGGGUGGGUAACCCAGAUCGCUACUACCCUGCAAUUCCCGGACAUGAUGCUGUCCACCUCUCGAGAUAAGACCAUUAUCAUGUGGAAGCUGACCAGAAAUGAGACCAACUAUGGCAUCCCAUAGCAUGCUCUCUCUGGGGCCACUCCCACUUCUGUUAGUGAUGUGGUCAUCUCCUCGGAUGGCCAGUUUGCACUCACAGGCUCCUGGGAUGGAACCCUGUGCCUCUGCCUCACAACGGGCACCAUCACAAGAUGAUUUGUAGGCCAUACAAAGGACAUGCUGAAUGUGGCCUUCUCCUCUAACAACCGACAGAUUGUCUCUGGAUCCUGAGAUAAAAACAUCAAGUUGUGGAACACUCUUGAUGGUUUGCAACACGUCGUGCAAAUACACUGUGCAGGAUGAGAGCCACCCAGAAUGGAUGUCUUGUGUCUGCUUCUCACCCAACAGCAGCAACCCUAUUGUCUCUUGUGGCUGGGACAAGCUGGUCAAGGUGUGCAAUCUGGCUAAUUGCAAGCUGAAGACCAAUCACAUUGGCCGCACUGGCUAUCUGAGCAUGGUGACUGUUUCGCCAGAUGGGUCCCUCUGUUAUUCCAGAGGCAAGGAUGGCCAGGUCAUGCUCUGGGACCUCAAUGAAGACAAGUACCUUUAUACGCUAGAUGGUGGGGACAUCAUCGAUGCCCUGUGCUUCAGCCCCAACCACUACUGGCUUUGUGCUGCCACAGGCCCCAGCAUCAAGAUUUGAGACUUAGAGGGCAAGAUCAUUGUAGAUGAGCUGAAGGAAGAAGUAAUCAGUACAGGCUGCAAGGCAGAGCCACCUCAGUGUACCUCUCUGGCAUGGUCUGCUGAUGGUCAGUCUCAGUUUGCUGGCUACACAGACAACCUGGUGUGAG
Nycticebus coucang (slow loris) is the source of this 1004-nucleotide RNA transcript. It is a transcript of the gene named receptor of activated protein C kinase 1-like, with no coding region annotated. The record is from RefSeq and is a predicted model, not a curated record. The transcript has a single exon. Lineage: Eukaryota; Metazoa; Chordata; Mammalia; Primates; Lorisidae.